GGUCAAGUUAUUAAGGGUUUACGGUGGAUGCCUUGGGUCCAAGGGCCGAAGAAGGGCGCGGAAAGACUGCGAUAAGCCUCGAUUAGCUGUCUAUCAAGCUUAGUCGGGGGUACCCGAAUGGGGAAACCCGUCAUGGGUUAUACCAUGACAUUCAAAUGAAUGGGAACCGUGUGAACUGAAACAUCUAAGUAACACGAGGAAUAUAAAUCAAAAGAGAUUCUCCUAGUAGUGGCGAACGAACGGGGAACAGCCUAAACUGUGUGGGCUUAACGGAAUGAGGUCCUAUGUCCAUGCAGGGUUGUAACAAGUUUCUGUCCUGACCUCAAUAAGGACAAGAAGUUACAAAUUUUUUUAUUAGUCAAACGAAUCUGGAAAGAACGACCGGAGAAGGUGAUAGUCCUGUAGGCGAAAAUAAAAAAACUUCUGAAACUCUGUUGAGUACCACGGGACACGAGAAAUCUUGUGGGAAUCUGGGGAGACCACUCUCCAAGGCUAAAUACUCUUGGACACCGAUAGCGAACCAGUACUGUGAAGGAAAGGUGAAAAGUACCCCGGGAGGGGAGUGAAAUAGACCUGAAACCGUAAACUUACAAGCCGU
This 598-nucleotide ribosomal RNA is filed under the name Chloroflexota bacterium. RNAcentral describes it as "bacterial LSU rRNA". It matches the Rfam family "Bacterial large subunit ribosomal RNA", at positions 1 to 574 of the family's 2925-position model. The record is from RNAcentral. Lineage: Bacteria; Bacillati; Chloroflexota.